RNAcentral lists this ribosomal RNA (415 nucleotides) under uncultured bacterium. RNAcentral describes it as "bacterial SSU rRNA". It matches the Rfam family "Bacterial small subunit ribosomal RNA", at positions 355 to 787 of the family's 1533-position model. The record is from RNAcentral.
UGGGGGAUAUUGCACAAUGGGGGGAACCCUGAUGCAGCGACGCCGCGUGGGUGAAGGAGCGUUUCGGCGCGUAAAGCCCUAUCGGCAGGGAAGAAGACGACGGUACCUGACCAAGAAGCCCCGGCUAACUACGUGCCAGCAGCCGCGGUAAUACGUAGGGGGCAAGCGUUAUCCGGAUUUACUGGGUGUAAAGGGAGCGUAGACGGAUGUGCAAGUCUGAAGUGAAAGCCCGGGGCUCAACCCCGGGACUGCUUUGGAAACUGUGUAUCUAGAGUGCCGGAGAGGUAAGCGGAAUUCCCAGUGUAGCGGUGAAAUGCGUAGAUAUUGGGAGGAACACCAGUGGCGAAGGCGGCUUACUGGACGGUAACUGACGUUGAGGCUCGAAAGCGUGGGGAGCAAACAGGAUUAGAUACCC